AUAACACUUCAAAAGACAACAGGACCCAUUCUAAUCUGUAAUAUUGUCUACACUGGACUGUUUAUCUAUUUUAUCUGUUGCGGUGCAGUGUGAUCCUAUGAGACAACGAUGGCGUCUGGUGUAGACACGGUGUCAUAAAGCAUGUUGGUAGGUGGAAGCAGUGCAGCUCACUAGGUUUUGGGAUAGACCAUACUUUCUAUUUAAAGCCUUCACAAACCUAGGUAUUUGUGGCAAACUAGCAUUUCAUUUUAAUUGUUACCAUCAUAAUUCAAGACAAAUUCAUUAUUCCUUUAUACAGUACCUUUCUUACUACUGCAGUCAUUGGAGAUAAAGUUCUGCUGCUUGAAGCCACACCAUCCUCCAUCAGGUCCAUCUGUCUCAUUCUUAGACCUUGGGAAAACCUGAGGGACAUUUGAGUGUCCUUUCUGUGAACAAAUUAAAAUUGAGAAAAUUAAACCUGAAUCGGCUUGAAAACAUGAAAGAAUCAGAGUCGAUUGGAAAUUGAAGACUCCAAAACCCGGGAAGAAUGACGCAGGCACGUCACAAUCUACGCACACAGCGGCAUUACCCGUCAUACUCUACGAGACAAAUCUGGACAAUCAUCGAACAUCGUGACUGAUUAAGCCUAAAAGCAUCAAAGAAAUCUC
This is a long non-coding RNA of Puntigrus tetrazona (Sumatra barb), 647 nucleotides long. RefSeq lists it as uncharacterized. The transcript is spliced from 3 exons. Lineage: Eukaryota; Metazoa; Chordata; Actinopteri; Cypriniformes; Cyprinidae. The record is from RefSeq and is a predicted model, not a curated record.